Molecule: ribosomal RNA, 343 nt
Filed under: Acinetobacter baumannii
Lineage: Bacteria; Pseudomonadati; Pseudomonadota; Gammaproteobacteria; Moraxellales; Moraxellaceae
Description: bacterial SSU rRNA
Rfam family: Bacterial small subunit ribosomal RNA
Source: RNAcentral
GGACCUAGCGGCGGACGGGUGAGUAAUGCUUAGGAAUCUGCCUAUUAGUGGGGGACAACAUCUCGAAAGGGAUGCUAAUACCGCAUACGUCCUACGGGAGAAAGCAGGGGAUCUUCGGACCUUGCGCUAAUAGAUGAGCCUAAGUCGGAUUAGCUAGUUGGUGGGGUAAAGGCCUACCAAGGCGACGAUCUGUAGCGGGUCUGAGAGGAUGAUCCGCCACACUGGGACUGAGACACGGCCCAGACUCCUACGGGAGGCAGCAGUGGGGAAUAUUGGACAAUGGGGGGAACCCUGAUCCAGCCAUGCCGCGUGUGUGAAGAAGGCCUUAUGGUUGUAAAGCACU